CGUGGGCAUUUUCACCUUUUCUCUGGUUGCUGAGGUUGCUGAUGGUUCCUCUAAUGUUCGAGAGGUGUGGAAGCAAUCUCAAGUGAGGUGUGGAAGCAAUCUCAAGUGAUUUUCUCUCAACAUCAAAGAGGGAUAUUGAGAUAUAUUUCUCAAAUGUCGAUCGAUGUGACAAUCAAGUCUGUAGGAAAGAAGCAUCUCAAGGAUGACUUUGAAAUGAGAGUUUCAAAGUAGUAUUGAAGGACAGAGAGACUAGCGUCAUUAACUCAUUAUACGAGUGUACAUGCUUAUUUAUCGCGAUGAGGAAUGGAAUAUGUUGAAGUUUAUAAUUCUCGGAAGCACAUAACUUGCUUGCUAAUCCAUGUAGGAUCAUAAUAUGCU
RNAcentral lists this long non-coding RNA (378 nucleotides) under Olea europaea (common olive). RNAcentral's name for it is "long non-coding RNA (OEUR_LNC014434)". Lineage: Eukaryota; Viridiplantae; Streptophyta; Magnoliopsida; Lamiales; Oleaceae. The record is from RNAcentral.